RNAcentral lists this ribosomal RNA (331 nucleotides) under uncultured eukaryote. Its description in RNAcentral is "partial 18S ribosomal RNA". It matches the Rfam family "Eukaryotic small subunit ribosomal RNA", at positions 592 to 975 of the family's 1831-position model. The record is from RNAcentral.
CAAUAGCGUAUAUUAAAGUUGUUGCAGUUAAAAAGCUCGUAGUUGAAUUUCGGGUCCCCGCGCUCGGCGCUUCAUUGUGCCGUCGUGGUGUCCCUCCUCGCCGUAAGGCGUCCUUUACUGUGAAAAAAUUAGAGUGUUCAAAGCAGGCAAUCGCUUGAAUACAUUAGCAUGGAAUAAUAAGAUAGGAUCUUGUCUAUUUUGUUGGUUGCGGACAACGAUAAUGAUUAAUAGGGAUAGUUGGGGGUGUCCGUAUUGAGCUGUCAGAGGUGAAAUUCUUGGAUUUGCUCAAGACGAACUACUGCGAAAGCAUUCACCAAGGAUGUUUUCACUA